AUUUCUGGGAGGUUUUUACGUUGAUGUCUCAUGAAUACUGGGAGAAAAAGAAGUCUCCAAAAGGACAUUGGCCGGCAUAUUGUACGAGCUCAGUAAAUAUUUCUGGACGGACGCAUUUGUUGAGAAGCUCGCUGCCAAUGGUUUUCCUGACGUGAACGUGGCUGUUCUCAUCGAAGGAGGAGCUCAGGACCUCACUGUCGCUGGCAACGGCUGCUGCUUUCAUCAGGGGAGCUCCGAUCUCCACUGUGAGCAUCGCGUCCCGGCUCCAGCGUGGAUCCCUCAGCCUGGUGGCACAAACUCUUCACCUCACCAGCACAGGUUUUCUGGCUUCCAUCACUGGCCUUCGGGCCUUCCGGGUGCAGAUCCUCAGUA
Long non-coding RNA from Fukomys damarensis (Damara mole-rat), 372 nucleotides. RefSeq lists it as uncharacterized. NCBI's taxonomy places the organism in Eukaryota, Metazoa, Chordata, Mammalia, Rodentia, Bathyergidae. The record is from RefSeq and is a predicted model, not a curated record. The transcript is spliced from 3 exons.